RNAcentral lists this microRNA (21 nucleotides) under Picea abies (Norway spruce). Its description in RNAcentral is "pab-miR3696". The record is from miRBase by way of RNAcentral. Lineage: Eukaryota; Viridiplantae; Streptophyta; Pinopsida; Pinales; Pinaceae.
CGAGCUACCAUCGUGACGAUC